CUAGAUUUACCUACUAGAAUAACCACCAUGGCUGCACCCUGCACUGAAAACAAUCACAAACAAGGCACACUGGAAUUGCAUCCUUUUUACCCAAUAUAAAACUUCCGCAGUGCUCUGGACGUCCCGUUCCCAUCAACUCGCGAAGCGUCCAUCGCGCUCCAGUCCCUCUCCCCAGACCGCGAGCCCCGGAAAGGAGGCAUCAGCAAGGAGCUCACGGUUUCCGGUAGCACGCUGUCUGUGAGGUGGAGGGCAGAUGAGGCCCGUAUCCUGCGUGUCACUGUAGGGUCGUUUAUGAACCACCUCUCCCUGGUGAUGGAAACCUUGGAGUUGUUCGGACCACCUCUCCCUGGUGAUAGAAACCAUGGAGUUGUUCGGACCACCUCUCCCUGGUGAUGGAAACCAUGGAGUUGUUCGGACCACCUGUCCCUCAGUGACCACUCACACACUCAGCAGUCUCUGUUCUGCAAUGAACUGCAGAGAACCAAGAGGAGCAGUGUUAUGCUGAACAGAGGGGUCUCUCUGGCCGACAGACCCAGCAGAAGCAUGCUGUACAGAGUGACAUGUCCCACUUUCAAUCCUCUGCUAUUCAAAAUGAAGGAACUGGAUUCUCUUAUACCAAUGCAACAUUUCUGUAGUUGUUGAAUUAGAAUGUGAUUUAGAGCAGUGGGCCUGCAGGUCUAAGACUAAAAAAAAUAAAAGACAACUGACAUUUCCAUAAAGUAAAUAUUUAUGUUUUACAGCGAAGAGAUAUGCAACAAAAUAUGACAGUUGAAGGAGUUGUGCGAAAAUGUUCACGUAGAUAGAUGACUAAGGAUUUUUGCUCAUUGGUUGUUGGCAUGAAAGAGUCAAUUCAUUUCUGUUACUAGAACACACAGCAACACUAGUGGAUGGUGUAGAAUAGGAAGGCAGAUUUAAGACAAUGGAAUAGAAAAAAAACUAGGAGAGAGGUGAUCAGUAGGACCAAAGAGGGGCACGGCCCACUGUUAGGGCAGAGGACAUGGGGUCCAGUCCCAAACCCUCCCCUCUUUCCCUAGACACUUCUAGAUAGCCUCCUGGUAGACCUGAGAAGUAGUGUAAGCAAUAUGGCCAACUACUAUUUCACUAGAACCACACUGCUUACACAAAUCAGAUCAUUUUUGAUCUAUUAGGAGCCUUGAGGGGGCUAGGGUUUAAACUUGAGACAGGCCCAUAGUGACUGCUCAUCUCAUGUCUUCAUUCCAUAAAAUGUAUGACCAGCCUCUACAGGGAUACAGUUGUGUAGUAUGGAUAACAAGAUAAGAAAUGUACUGAACUAACCAGUAUAAAAGAACAGAACCGAUGUUGCUGUUGGGUCGAGAGAAUGUCAGUGCACACCGUCAUAUUUUGACUGCACACAGUUACCUUCACUGCAUCUGGUUAGUUUAGCACCCUCUACACAACUGUUUAAAA
Oncorhynchus mykiss (rainbow trout) is the source of this 1428-nucleotide non-coding RNA. Lineage: Eukaryota; Metazoa; Chordata; Actinopteri; Salmoniformes; Salmonidae. The record is from RefSeq and is a predicted model, not a curated record.